UUCCUGGAGACCAUAAACCUACAAUUAGCAACAUAACCACCCAUAUUCCUGGAGACCAUAACACUACAAUGAGCAACAUAACCACCUAUAUUCCUGGAGACCAUAACACUACAAUGAGCAACAUAACCACCUAUAUUCCUGGAGACCAUAACACUACAACUAGCAACAUAACCACCCCUAGUCCUGGAGACCAUAACACUACAAUUAGCAACAUAACCACCCGUAUUCCUGGAGACCAUAACACUACAAUCAGCAACAUAGACCACCCCUAGUCCUGGAGACCAUAACACUACAAUUAGCAACAUAACCACCCGUAUUCCUGGAGACCAUAACACUACAACUAGCAACAUAACCACCCCUUCUCCUGGAGACCAUAACACUACAAUUAGCAACAUAACCACCCGUAUUCCUGGAGACCAUAACACUACAAUUAGCAACAUAACCACCCCUAUUCCUGGAGACCAUAACAAUACAAUUAGCAACACAGCUAACCCUAUUACCCCUAAAAAUCCUCCCCAGACCAUUAGCACGACUGUCUUUCGUAAAACCUUUGCCCCUACUGAGAGAGCAACAAGCAGGUAUAAGACCACAGAGCAUGCUGCAGCUGUAGUUGCUGGGGCCGGAGAGGAAGUCCCAGGAUGGGGGAUCGCUCUUUUGGUACUGGCUGCCCUGAUCUUGUUAAUCCUCCUUAUUCUCCUAAUACUUCUGCUAGUGUGGUUGUGCUGUAGGCAGAGAUAUGGAAGCUUCAGCCCAUAUAACCAGAUCAACCACGGGGCAGACAUCCAAAUGUACUCCACACACAGCCGCUUCAACGUGCCCAACGGCAAGCCUAAUGACGAAAUGGGAGAACCAUCGAAAAACCAAACAGGGAUGUAUGUGGUGAACGAGUACUGACACACAGAAGCUCCAGUCAAUUGGGUAAGAAGACCAUCUGAAAUGGCCUUAUGAAGUAAUAUGCAUGGGAGCAAUGACAAUUCUGUACAAAUGGUCCAAUUAUCUCUGAAGUAUCUGAAUGAAGACCGUGGCUUUGGCUCACUGAUUGUAAUUUCAACCUGUAUUUAUUCAAAUCAAAUCACAUUUAUUUAUAAAGCCCUUUUUACCUCAGCCGAUGUCACAAAGUGCUAUACAGAAACCCAGCCUAAAACUCCAAACAGCAAGCAAUGCAGAUGUCCUAAUGUUAUUUUAUUCCUAAUGCUUUUACCAGUGGAGGCUGCUGAGGGGAGGAUGGCUCAUAAUAAUAGCUGGAAUGGAGUCGAUGUAAUGGUAUCAAGCACAUCAAACACCUGGUUUCCAUGUAGUCGUUACCAUUCCAUUCUAUUAUUCUGUACGUAAAUCCGAGACACUCCAUUUAGUAUAUGCUACUCCUCCCCGACCAACCUCCCUACUUUAGUUUCUGUCUAAAGUAACUAGGCCAUUAAAAGGUAUCAUAUGUCUUGACGUGCUCAGAAAUACGUAAAGUAUGUUUUGAAUGGCUCUGAGGCCAGGCUGGCAAUUUUGGCUUCAUUGUGGCAAUAGUUUGAGUUGUAUUUUCAGUCUUUACUGAAGGCAAGCUAAACCUUGGUAAAAAAGAAAGCUGAUCCUAGAUCAGUAAAUGGGUCAACAUAUGUAUCCUGCAAUUAACAUGUAAGAAGAAUGAGUAAGGGUGCAAUACCCAAUCAGGUACAGUUAACAAGAAGUUCAUUGUUUUCAAAGACUAUAAAUCAAACCUUUUGACUUGGGCUGAGAGAUCCAAAUCUAAUUCCCUACCGCUGGAUAAGACAUGUUUUGAGAUAGGAUGCUAGCAUGCCAAAAAGUUAACUAUUCCACAAACACAACCCAGUGAGUAAAACACCAAUGUUAUGUAUAUUUGACAAUCUGAUUAAAUAAAUCCACCAUUAUUAAUCAAUCUGUGAGAUGCAACUAUCUGUAAACAUUUGAAGUGAUCGUGCAUUGGCGCUUUAAACUUUGCAUAAAAAGAAAUCUAAAUCAUUUUUAGAUUAAAUAUUGUAAAUAAUAAAUAAAGUUUGUUAGAUUUUUAUGGG
Salvelinus sp. IW2-2015 is the source of this 2021-nucleotide long non-coding RNA. RefSeq lists it as uncharacterized. Lineage: Eukaryota; Metazoa; Chordata; Actinopteri; Salmoniformes; Salmonidae. The record is from RefSeq and is a predicted model, not a curated record.